CAGCCGCCGCGGUAAUACGAAGGGUGCAAGCGUUACUCGGAAUUACUGGGCGUAAAGCGUGCGUAGGCGGUGAGUUAAGUCUGCUGUGAAAUCCCCGGGCUCAACCUGGGAAUGGCAGUGGAUACUGGCUCGCUAGAGUGUGUCAGAGGAUGGUGGAAUUCCCGGUGUAGCGGUGAAAUGCGUAGAGAUCGGGAGGAACAUCAGUGGCGAAGGCGGCCAUCUGGGACAACACUGACGCUGAGGCACGAAAGCGUGGGGAGCAAACAGGAUUAGAUACCCGGGUAGUCCCUGUCUCUUAUAC
This 301-nucleotide ribosomal RNA is filed under the name uncultured bacterium. Its description in RNAcentral is "partial 16S ribosomal RNA". It matches the Rfam family "Bacterial small subunit ribosomal RNA", at positions 509 to 807 of the family's 1533-position model. The record is from RNAcentral.